UACGGGGGGGGCAAGCGUUGUUCGGAAUUACUGGGCGUAAAGGGCUCGUAGGCGGCCAACUAAGUCAGACGUGAAAUCCCCAGGCUCAACUUGGGAACUGCGUCUGAUACUGGAUGGCUUGAAUUCGGGAGAGGGAUGCAGAAUUCCAGGUGUAGCGGUGAAAUGCGUAGAUAUCUGGAGGAAUACCGGUGGCGAAGGCGGCAUCCUGGACCGACAUUGACGCUGAGGAGCGAAAGCUAGGGGAGCAAACAGG
RNAcentral lists this ribosomal RNA (253 nucleotides) under uncultured bacterium. RNAcentral describes it as "partial 16S ribosomal RNA". It matches the Rfam family "Bacterial small subunit ribosomal RNA", at positions 524 to 776 of the family's 1533-position model. The record is from RNAcentral.